This 347-nucleotide ribosomal RNA is filed under the name Scymnus penicilliformis. Its description in RNAcentral is "partial small subunit ribosomal RNA". Lineage: Eukaryota; Metazoa; Arthropoda; Insecta; Coleoptera; Coccinellidae. The record is from RNAcentral.
UUAAAACGUAAAUUUAAAAGCUAAAUUAUUAAUAGUUAUGUUCUUUAAAAUUAAAUAAUUUGGCGGUAUUUUAGUCUUUUCAGAGGAACCUGUUCUUUAAUUGAUAAUCCACAAUUUAAAAAACUUAAAUUAGUAAUUUACAUAUCAUCGUUAUUAAGUAUUUUUAUAGAAUUUAAUAUUUAAAAAAUUUAAUUAUAUCAUAGUUCAGAUCAAGGUGUAGUUUAUAUUUAAGUUGAAAUGGGUUACUAUUUAAUAAAAUUGAAUUAGAAAUUUAAAAUUUCUAUAAAAUUGGAUUUGAAAGUAAUUAAUUUUUUUUAUUUUUAAUGAUUAAGCUCUAAAAUAAUUGG